CCUACGGGCGGCAGCAGUGGGGAAUAUUGCGCAAUGGGCGAAAGCCUGACGCAGCGACGCCGCGUGAGGGAUGAAGGUCUUCGGAUCGUAAACCUCUGUCAGCAGGGAAGAACGGUCACUGUGCUAAUCAGCAGUGAAUUGACGGUACCUGCAAAGGAAGCACCGGCUAACUCCGUGCCAGCAGCCGCGGUAAUACGGAGGGUGCGAGCGUUAAUCGGAAUUACUGGGCGUAAAGCGCUCGUAGGCGGUAUGUCAAGUCAAGGGUGAAAUCCCCGCGCUCAACGUGGGAACUGCCAUUGAUACUGCCUUGCUGGAAUGCGGAUGCCGUGGGAGGAAUGUGUGGUGUAGCGGUGAAAUGCAUAGAUAUCACACAGAACACCGAUUGCGAAGGCAGCUUACCAAGCUACUUCUGACGUUGAGGCACGAAAGCGUGGGGAGCAAACAGGAUUAGAUACCCCUGUAGUC
RNAcentral lists this ribosomal RNA (465 nucleotides) under uncultured bacterium. RNAcentral's name for it is "partial 16S ribosomal RNA". It matches the Rfam family "Bacterial small subunit ribosomal RNA", at positions 338 to 795 of the family's 1533-position model. The record is from RNAcentral.